Molecule: long non-coding RNA, 523 nt
Filed under: Helianthus annuus (common sunflower)
Lineage: Eukaryota; Viridiplantae; Streptophyta; Magnoliopsida; Asterales; Asteraceae
Description: hypothetical non coding rna
Source: RNAcentral
UUUGUACGAUGUUCAGCAGCUUGUAGAAGUUAUAAAACAAACAGUCUUCUUCUGGCAGACUGCAGAGGUUUGCUCCACCUCUUCUGCUACAGAUGUCUGCAGAUGUGGUCCACAGACUAUAGACAUUUUACCUAUGAAAAAAUAAACAGCACCUUAAUCUAUUUUAUUAAAAGCAUGCACAUUAUUGUAAACAAGUUUAAGCAUUAUUUAUCAACUCAAUUAUUAUGAUGCUGGUGUGAAACGUGCAACAAAGAGUUGAUCUGCCAUAAAUCAUCUGUAUCUCAUACAUGCAUCUUGCAUGUUUCCUUCCUACCAGACCAGUGAACUGUUUUGCACAAGAUUUUGUAGUAACAUACACGCUAUUGAUGUAUUGCAAAAUACAACCAUUUAUUAUGUAGAGUUUGUGCAUAUUUCGCAUUCUUUUAGUUAGAAUUUCGUUACUUUGAUCGAUUCUUGUGUUUUCAGGUCGUUGGUGCUAAAAACGUCGAAAAACGAAGAGUUAAUGGCUGGGAAACGAGUUGGA